UUAACUAUUCGCUUUCUCCAACUCUGUAUUAAAGGGCAUCCUAGGACCUUGAGGGACAGGCUGUGUCUGGCUCUGCCUACUCCACAAGUACAGUUAAAAGUUCUCUCUAAUUGGUAUGUCCUCUUUGCAGGGCAGUUUUCUGGUUGCUCACAAAAAUUCCUAUUUAUAUAAUCUUGUAGCCAUGGCACCACUUAUGCCUUUCUCAUGCAUUGUCUUAUAAUUCAUGCACUCUGUAAUUGAACAGAGACCUUUUUUCACUAUAUAUUUCCUGCUUUAUUGACCUCUUCAUCUCAUGCAGAAAUUUCAUGAUCUUUUGUGUUACAAUGUGUGAAUAAUCUCAUCAAGUUUCUGCUAUGCCAAUCAUAAUUUUCAGAAUCUGUUAUUCUUUCUAAUCACUCUUAUUGAUCUUCUAUUUAUUUUCAAAUGUCUACAAAUUUGUAGGAUCUUUGGAAGAUUGACACACUAUCCUAUUGAUUCUUCUAUGAAACUUUUACAAAUAAUCUAAAAUCUCACUCUUAAUUUUAAUAACCUCUGCUAGAUCAACAGCAACAAUGAUAAUAUCUCUGUGAAAUAUGGCAUGUUGUUAAUGACUUCAGGCUUGUUAGCCUGGCCAAUAUAGUGAAAUCACUGUGAUGCUCUGAUAUGAAGUUCAGAGCAUAACAUUGUGAUGCACUUUUCUGGAAGUGAACUUGACUUAUGGUAAACUUAGUUUACCAUAUUCUUGUGGGUCAGGCAUGGACUUGAACCAUUUUAAUUGUAUAAUCAGCCUGGAAUUUCAAAAAGUCAGUGGGCAGGAUAAUAAGCACCAAACAUCUUAACUUCUUAGUCCUUUAAGUGAAACAAAGGCUAGAAUUUAUUUCCUGGGGAGUAAACACAGAAGAAGCAUCUUUAAAAAAGAAUUGAACUCAAAAUAUCUAAACUCUCUGUGAAUCAAAACUAAUUAGAUCUACAACUGUCAGUUUGGCUAAGAACAGUGUCAGUUGUUUCCAGGAGCUUCUAUAUUUUUUUUUUCUUUCUCUCCAAGCCUAACAUUGCUAAUGUUGUACUUAUUGCUUCUUAAUUUUACUCUCAUCUUCGUGACACUGACUGAUCAUCCAAACACUAUCUGCUACUGUGCCAGAGCCUCCUGGGUAAUAAAAGUGCCAAUGCUUGAUAAGUGUCUGCCAGAUAAAGUGCAUGUUGGUUCAGAAGAAGCUGUGCCAACUGUAAUGCAAAAAGCAAUGAAUAAAGACAGGAAAAGACUAUAAAAAUUACUUUAACUUUUGGUUAUUGAAACUGUGCAUGUUCAAGUAAAUCAAAUGUUGCAAGUGUCAGUGCAGCCUAAUUUUAUUUCUCAUCAAAUGAAACAGCAACUGAAAGUAUGAUAUUUUUCUAUAUGUCUAGCUCUCUGUUGGGAUAUAUAGUGAUUAAGUCUUUGCUAUGUUUGGCUAUUUUUUUAUAAAAGAUGAGUUGGUAAUAUAAGCCCAUUUAUGAGUGAAAGAAAAUAUACAUAAUUUAAAAACUUAACACAAAGCCCAUAAAGAAAGAGAGAUCUAGAGAUGGAAGUGCAAUGUCUGUGUGUUCUGGAUCAGAAUGUGGUGGUUAAUCAGAAAGAACUGUGGUGCAGUAAGAUUAUAGUAAUUUUACUCAAACAAAAAUACGCUUUGGAGGGAGAAGGAAUAUGAAAAGGGCCAGGGAAUUGGAUUCUGUAUGUGAUCAGAAGAUACCUUCAUCCACAGAAGCGUAUGAAUCCUUUUCUGACAAUUUUGCAUAUCCUUAGUGAGGAAUAAGAAGUUUAGGAAUACUGCAUAAUUCAAUGUAUUUGGCUUUGUUAAAGAAGAUCCAUGAACUCAAGGCACAUGGAUGAUUCUGCUCAUGAAGUUUACUUAGUUCAGGUCAUGCAUACGGGGAAUGUACAAAAUGUCUCCUGUUUUGACAGACUUGUUCAGGAUGGGAAAACAGUCAUCCUAGAGUCCUUGAAUAUUUAAAUUACCAGGUAGUUCAGUAAGUGAAAUAGUGACAUGUACUCCAGGUUGUUCUGAUCAGCAGAACUGUGCUCAAAGGGAUUGUAGCAGCAAUACUUUGAGAACAGAUAGCAAAGUGAAGAACGACAGCCAUGAAAGAGAAAGUCACUUUUGAAAGGUUUACUUUUGAUUUUUACAUUACUCUUCAAACAUAUCAGGGCAGAAUAGUCAGGACUAAUGAAUCUCCUUUUAAUAGCUCUUCUGCUGUUUUAUCAGCGAAGAAGAGGAGCAGAGGGAAGUUUCUACUAUAAGCACUGUUGUAAUUCAUUCACAGAAAGGCAAAACUAAUUCAAGAACAGAAAGGUUUGUUAUGGGAAGGCUGUGUGGCCUUUGAAUGAUGACUUCUGUGGAGUCCAUCUAUGUCCUAGCAAGAGGAAAAUAUCUACAUCUGUUUUGAAAAUGCAUUUUAAUAUUUCCCCAUUUGAGUUUUUAAAUCAGAUUUUAAAAUUAAAUCUCAUUUGCGUUUUUAAAUCAGGUGAAGCUGGUGCACUGGGCUGGAUCAGAUCCACUUCUACCUUUUUAAAAGCAUGGAAAAAUUCCAGAGGCAGCAUCUGCUUAACCUUUCCUACCUCUCUUGUGGAAAAGGAUGUGUUUUUUUAUAUCACCCAAUGUGCUGGGUAUUACAUGUGUUAUUUAGGUCUCCUAAUUCUACUUUUCUACAAAUCAGCCACUCUGAUAUGUAUAUUAGUAGGUAGCUGGGGUAAUUUUUUAUGUUGGACAGACCAGUAAAAUGCAGUGAAGCAUGCAACAAUAACCACAAAUGUCCAUCACUGGAUGUUUUAUUACUGUGUUGAAGCAUUUGAUUUGUUUGCCUGCAAGGACAGAAUCUCCUUAAGGCUUAGCAGAGUCUUGAUUUGAAUGCCUCUGGGGUCAAGUGUAUGUGUCAUGACAAACUUCAGCAGCCCUGUGAAGUCAUGUAGUUUCUAUCAGUCGGUUUGUGAGUACGCAGCUCGCUCCACUACCACUUUUCCCUUAUAGUCUCUGCAUAUAUAUUAUAAAAUGUUCUCUUUCCAUUUGUCUCCCCUGGUAACGACUUCUUAUCUCAUCAAAAUUGUAGCAUAUUGAACUUCAUAUCUUCCUUCUCUUAUACUGAGUUCCCUAGGAACAAACCCUGUCGAAAGUGCAGGAUGAAAGGGGUUAUCAUAUUUCUCUGUAACCUGCCUGUUUCCCUUGUAGAUUUUGCUAUAACCAUUAUGGAAACUUUCAGAAGUCAUAUACCAGUAAUACCACUGAAACCUACUGUCCUCACAAUGUGUAUGUUUUAUACCAGCUAUGCUAACUUAAGGAUGACAAAAGGGUCCCUCUGGGAACAUCUACGCUUCGUGAGGCCUCCUUGGUGUCCAUGUUCAUGCUCAUGACAUACCCUUGUUCUUUUAUUAUUGUGCAAAAACAUCAUUAAAGCCUUUUGAAUUAAGGUACAAAGUGAAGCCAACAUCAGCCUAUCUUCUGUUCUAGCCGUCUCAUUAUAGACAGUUUUCACAGUGUCAGGAAGGUACCAAUAGGAGCCACUAAAAUCAAUAUUAAAUCUAAUUAUAAAUAUAUUUUUAAAUGGUCUUGAAGAUCAAAAGAAGUGAAGAGAAGGAAUAAGUUUCUUAGAACACUGCCUGAUAAAAUGGCAAGUGAAGUGCAAUGACAAAAAAUGCAAACGACUGUGGAACACAUUCUAUAGUGGUCUAUAUAUCUAUCUACGACACACAUUACAUCCACUUCAUGUGAUCCCAAGUUUGCUUUCACUGUGAUCGCUAUUCUGUGCUGGUAUUGUGGCUAUGAGGAACAAUAUCAAAUUGUUCUGAAUUUUUAAAUCAAUAAUAAUUUUUCAACUAACCCUCAGCCCAAUCCUUUCAGAGACUGUUUAUAUUUAGCUAUUAAAGACACAAAAUAAAAAUUAUUAUAUUUUUGUCCUGUAGGAAGAACAAAAUUAUUUACUCUGACAAAUAAGAAUGGUCUUGUUUUUUUUGACCUUACAGACAGAAUAAAACUGAUGGUAUCUAAUCUAUUUCUAACCAGAACUGACAUAAUGUAAUGCAUCUCUUUAUAUUGAUUCUUUCUGUAAAGCUUUUAGGACUCUGAAUGUUACAUUCUUUCUCUCAUUCUGUGGUAUUAGAACAGACUGAAAUAUUUUAUUUAGAUGGAAAUUAGAUGGUUUUGUCCUCUCUGAUGAAUUCUUUUGAAUGCAAAGCUACUAAAGUCACUGACUUCGAAAACUGUCUCAACUCAGGCCAGCUAAAAUAAAGUUGUUUAUUUGCAUUUAGCAGAACCUGCAGAGAUUGGAGUAGAAGCUCAGCUAAUUUGGUACGGCUCUGAUGUCUACUUUGGGCCACACUUUUUGAAGGAAACUACUGAAUAUGCUUCUCAAAUUAGAAGAGUUCUAUGUUAUGUAAGAAACCACCUAAUCAUGUGUUUUUAAACUAAUUUCAAUGGCUACACCCUUUGCUCUGAAUAAGAUCCAGCUGCUCUAGUGACAAAGAUGCGAUCUGCUCUCUGCAGUGUCUAGAGGUAUCAGAUGGGAAACUGAGUAUCAGAAAUUUGAUGGUGCAGCCCUGACAUAUUUUCCCAGUGACAUCUAUACCUGCUGCUCUUGAGCAACACUCAGAGAGGAAUCAUGAGAGAAAAAGAGAAGAAAGCUCUAGAGAUAAGGGGAGAGUGACCUGCAAGCGAUGAUCCCAUUGGAAUACCUGUUUCAUAUGCAGAGCAAGGAAAACAUGCAGACUUCCAUGCCAGUUUGGUGGCACACGGUAAUGGAGACAGCUGUGGAAGCAUGCUAACAAAACAACACACUGAGUAUUAAUUAGAAGAGUGAAGGACAAAAGUGUCAAGAAGCAACAUAAGGGAAAAUAACUUUGGGAAGAUCAGAAACGAAGAGAAUUUUUAAACAGAUUUCAAAUAAAAUGUUUUAAAAUGUCAAAGUUGAGUGCAUAGUGUAACAUUUAAUUAAGGAAUCUGUAUUGUGUUUUGGUUGAUUUCAGAGACAUCAAAACAGCUCUGAACUUUGUAAGGCAAGAUUUUGGGGGAUACUCAUCUAGGUGGAACUAAUGAUAGAUUGGAGAAAACAAAAAAGCUCUUGGACAUAUAAACAAUUCUACAGGUGUGUUUUCAGACAUCUAAAAAAAAUCAGUAUGUAAUUUCAGUCAAAUAAAACUAGAAAAGAAGCAAAAAAAAAAAAAAGCGUAAGUUAUUUUUUGUAUUUGUGUUUGAACUGCUUUGAUGGGUAACACUGAAAGGCCCGUUCACAGAGCCAGAAAGGGCAAUAAAAUGCUGGGGCUGCUUAAUCCUUGCGAGAGCGUGCGGCCUUCCUACCCUCAGCCAGCUUUAGGAAGAGCAUCAGUAGCCUCCGUGUCUUCCCAGGAGAGCCUUGCAGGUCCCACCACAGUAGCUGGGAGCCAGGGGCUUCACGGAUAUGUGUUUUUGUGCAUGGAAAUCCUGGAAAUCCAGGGGCCUGGCAGUUCAGUGAGGACAUGCCAGGGCAAGUUUCAAGGUACCCUUUAGGAAAGCAUCAACAACGGUGAGAUGAUGCUUUGAAGCCACAUCCUUUUUGAGCUGUUUUUUCCUUCUUCCUCUUGGGUUGCACCUCACUGCUUUUUCAGUCAUCUGCACAUCCCCCCUCCCUUCAUUUAUUCAGGAUGUUUUGCUUUAUAAGUGGCAUUUCAGGACUCUGCUUUUAACCCUGCUUCCUUUUGUGCAGUUGGGCUCCUGGAAAAAUAAUGCAGAGGAAUGAGUACAACACAUCCUUUGGAGAUCGCCUAAUUGCCACUUUUCUUUUAUACCAUAAUUUGUCCUUCCUUUUCAGCUUGAGCAGAAAGUCUGCUUAUCUGUUUAAUUUCUGAGACUGCUAGUCUAUUUUAUAAAUCACAUAUCAUGAAAAGGAUACAUUGUACUUGUCUCAUAUCAAUCCACACACUUUGGAUCACUGUCAGGUCUUCACAGUAUCACAGUAUCACAGUAUGUUAGGGAUUGGAAGGGACCUCAAAAGAUCAUCUAGUCCAAUCCCCCUGCUGGAGCAGGAACGCCUAGGUGAGGUCGCACAGAAACAUGUCCAGGCGGGUUUUGAAUGUCUCCAGAGAAGGAGACUCCACAACCUCCCUGGGCAGCCUGUUCCAGUGCUCUGUCACCCUUACUGAGAAGAAGUUUUUUCUCAA
Long non-coding RNA from Columba livia (rock pigeon), 6139 nucleotides. RefSeq lists it as uncharacterized. The transcript has 5 exons. The record is from RefSeq and is a predicted model, not a curated record. NCBI's taxonomy places the organism in Eukaryota, Metazoa, Chordata, Aves, Columbiformes, Columbidae.